Molecule: ribosomal RNA, 824 nt
Filed under: uncultured bacterium
Lineage: Bacteria
Description: bacterial SSU rRNA
Rfam family: Bacterial small subunit ribosomal RNA
Source: RNAcentral
UCUCUGAGGAGAAAGCAGGGGAUCGCAAGACCUUGUGCUUUUAGAGCGGCCGAUGCCUGAUUAGCUUGUUGGUGAGGUAAAAGCUCACCAAGGCUUCGAUCAGUAGCUGGUCUGAGAGGACGGCCAGCCACACUGGGACUGAGACACGGCCCAGACUCCUACGGGAGGCAGCAGUGGGGAAUUUUGGACAAUGGGGGCAACCCUGAUCCAGCCAUGCCGCGUGAGUGAAGAAGGCCUUCGGGUUGUAAAGCUCUUUCAGCCGGAACGAAACGGUUACGGUUAAUACCCGUGAUUACUGACGGUACCGGAAGAAGAAGCACCGGCUAACUACGUGCCAGCAGCCGCGGUAAUACGUAGGGUGCGAGCGUUAAUCGGAAUUACUGGGCGUAAAGCGUGCGCAGGUGGUUUUGUAAGUCAGAUGUGAAAUCCCCGGGCUUAACCUGGGAACUGCGUUUGAAACUACAAGACUAGAGUGUAGCAGAGGGGGGUGGAAUUCCGCGUGUAGCAGUGAAAUGCGUAGAGAUGUGGAGGAACACCGAUGGCGAAGGCAGCCCCCUGGGUUAACACUGACACUCAGGCACGAAAGCAUGGGGAGCAAACAGGAUUAGAUACCCUGGUAGUCCAUACCCUAAACGAUGUCAACUAGUUGUCGGGCCUUUGCGGGCUUGGUAACGUAACUAACGCGUGAAGUUGACCGCCUGGGGAGUACGAUCGCAAGAUUAAAACUCAAAGGAAUUGACGGGGACCCGCACAAGCGGUGGAUUAUGUGGAUUAAUUCGAUGCAACGCGAAAAACCUUACCUACCCUUGACAUGUAUCGAAACC